CAUUGGUCCCCUCGCAACGUUAACUGAUGAACCCGGUCAGGCCCGGAAGGGAGCAGCCGCAGUCAGGGAUGCGUGUGCCGGGGUGUGGCUGGUGAGG
The sequence is a non-coding RNA, 97 nucleotides long. It matches the Rfam family "Bacterial small signal recognition particle RNA". From Rfam's summary of the family: The signal recognition particle (SRP) is a universally conserved ribonucleoprotein involved in the co-translational targeting of proteins to membranes. The record is from Rfam.